RNAcentral lists this ribosomal RNA (301 nucleotides) under uncultured bacterium. Its description in RNAcentral is "partial 16S ribosomal RNA". It matches the Rfam family "Bacterial small subunit ribosomal RNA", at positions 509 to 807 of the family's 1533-position model. The record is from RNAcentral.
CAGCAGCCGCGGGAAAACAGAGGGUGCGAGCGUUAAUCGGAUUUACUGGGCGUAAAGCGUGCGUAGGCGGCUUCUUAAGUCGGAUGUGAAAUCCAUGAGCUUAACUUAGGAAUUGCAUUCGAUACUGGGAAGCUAGAGUAUGGGAGAGGAUGGUAGAAUUCCAGGUGUAGCGGUGAAAUGCGUAGAGAUCUGGAGGAAUACCGAUGGCGAAGGCAGCCAUCUGGCCUAAUACUGACGCUGAGGUACGAAAGCAUGGGGAGCAAACAGGAUUAGAUACCCGUGUAGUCCCUGUCUCUUAUAC